AUGAGAAUGCGAACAGCACCCGAUGCUGAAAUCCAAACCCUUGGCGCCACCACGUCAUACCCUCCACUCCUCGCCGCCGGCGCCCGGGCCCUCCUACCCUCCGCCUCCGUGCCGCCAUGGCGGGAACAGCUCACCCUCCGGGGCGUCGCCGUCGCGGCGGCGCUGGGUUCGCUGCUCUGCGUGGUGAUCCACCGCCUCAACCUCACCGUCGGGGUCAUCCCGGCUCUCAACGUCGCCUCCGGCCUCCUCGCCUUCUUCCUCACCACCGGCUGGCGGGCCGCCGCCGGGAGGCUAGGGUUCGGCCGCGGGAGCCCGUUCACCAGGCAGGAGAACACCGUCAUCCAGACCUGCGCCAUUGCGUGCGGCGGCCUCGCGUUCAGCGGGUGCUCGGCAUCGUACAUCUUCGCCAUGGACAGGAAGACGUAUGAGCUCGUCGGGCCUGACUAUCCGGGUAACCGAGUGGAAGACGUCAAAGAUCCCUCGCUUGGUUGGAUGAUCGGUUUUCUGUUCCUCGUUGCUCUCCUCGGGCCAUUUGCCAUUGUCAUGCUACGAAAGGUAUUGGUGGUUGAUUACAAGCUUGCAUUUCCUGGUGGGACAGCUACAGCUCUGAUGAUUAAUAGCUUGCAUGGAGAAAAAGAAGCUGACGUUACAGGAAAGAAAGUCAGUUGCCUUGUAAAGUACAUGGGCCUUAGUUUUGGCUGGAGCUUCUUUAAGUGGUUCUUUAGUGGUGUUGGUGACUCCUGUGGUUUUGACAAUUUCCCAACAUUUGGAGUUGCAGCUUUUAAGAACACGUUUUAUUUCAACUUCAAUCCCAGUUAUGUUGGGUAUGGUCUUAUUUCUCCCCAUAUUGUUAACUGUUCAGUUUUUCUUGGAUCAGUCAUAUCAUGGGGUUUCCUUUGGCCAUUUAUCACAAAGCAAGCUGGUGACUGGUACCCAGAUAACCUUAGUAGCAGUGACUUCAGAGGCCUAUAUGGUUACAAGGUUUUUGUAGCCGUUUCCAUCAUACUUGGAGAUGGCCUCUACAACUUAGUAAAAAUCUUUGUUGUUAUUGCAAGAGGAAUUUGUAAUGUGCAAUUGACAAAAGGUGAUCAGCCUGUUCAAGCUCUUCAAGAUAACAAGAACUCUAGACAGUUAAUGGAUGACGAGCUUCAAAUUGAGAUAUUCUUCAAAGAUAGGAUACCAACAUGGUUUGCUGUUUGUGGUUACAUUGUACUUGCAGCAAUAUCCACCGUAGCUGUGCCCACCAUAUUUCCCCAGCUGAAGUGGUAUCUUGUGCUUGUCUGCUACUUACUUGCUCCGGCCAUUGCCUUCUGCAACUCCUACGGGAUGGGCCUCACAAACUUGAACCUUGCACCCACCUAUGGCAAGAUUGCCCUCUUUAUAUUUGCCUCGCUCGUCGGCAGCAGCGAUGGUGGCGUCAUUGCCGGCCUUGCAGCAUGUGGCAUAAUCAUGUCCAUUGCCUGCUCUGCGGCAGAUCUGAUGCAGGACUUCAAGUGCGGCUACCUCACCCUCUCUUCACCGCGUUCAAUGUUCAUCUUCCAGCUAACUGGCGUCGUGCUCGGAUGCGUCAUUGCUCCGCUCACACUGUGGCUCUUCUGGGCGGCCUUCGAUAUCGGCGACCCUGAUGGUGAGUACAAGGCUCCAUUCGCCAUCAUCUUCAGGGAGAUGGCCAUUCUCGGGGUCGAAGGUGUUGCCGCUCUGCCCCAGCACUGCCUCGAGAUCUGUUGCGCAUUCUUCUUGGCCGCGAUGGCCGUCAAUCUCCUGAGGGAUGUGACGCCCGCCAGUGCGUCGAGGUUCAUCCCCAUACCGAUGGCGAUGGCUGUGCCGUUCUAUAUUGGCGCUUUCUUCGGCGUGGACAUGUUGAUUGGGACGGUAAUCUUGUUCGUGUGGUAGAAGUUGAACGGGAGGGGUGCUGAUGAUUAUGCGGUGGCAGUGGCGUCCGGGCUGAUCUGCGGGGAUGGUAUAUGGAGCAUUCCAUCUGCUGUUCUGUCCAUCCUGAGAAUUGAUCCGCCGGUCUGCAUGGCCUUCAGGCCGUCCUCUGCCUUUUCCAGGUGAGAAGAUGGAUCCAAUGCUCACUCUAGGACAUGGAUUUGUGCCACUGAGUGAUGAAUCUCUGUAAUUUCAUACGUACAGAUGUGCAUCACUUUACUCAUGUACAAAGAAAAACGAACCACAACACUUUGGAGCCAUAUUGCUCCUAACCAACUGUACCAAACAUCGCGUUACACACAUCCACUGUCUUCCAUCUGUCCUUUUUUUUUUCUGAACGGUCACCGG
RNAcentral lists this ribosomal RNA (2277 nucleotides) under Triticum aestivum (bread wheat). Its description in RNAcentral is "partial small subunit ribosomal RNA". The record is from RNAcentral. Lineage: Eukaryota; Viridiplantae; Streptophyta; Magnoliopsida; Poales; Poaceae.